AGAGUUUGAUCAUGGCUCAGGACGAACGCUGGCGGCGUGCCUAAUACAUGCAAGUCGAACGAGAAUUUCUUACACCGAGUGCUUGCACUCACCGUAAGAAAUUCGAGUGGCGGACGGGUGAGUAACACGUGGGUAACCUGCCCAAAAGAAGGGGAUAACAUUUGGAAACAAAUGCUAAUACCGUAUAACCAUGAUGACCGCAUGGUCAUUAUGUAAAAGGUGGUUCUGCUAUCGCUUUUGGAUGGACCCGCGGCGUAUUAACUAGUUGGUAGGGUAACGGCCUACCAAGGUGAUGAUACGUAGCCGAGUUGAGAGACUGAUCGGCCACAAUGGGACUGAGACACGGCCCAUACUCCUACGGGAGGCAGCAGUAGGGAAUCUUCCACAAUGGGCGCAAGCCUGAUGGAGCAACGCCGCGUGAAUGAAGAAGGUCUUCGGAUCGUAAAAUUCUGUUGUUAGAGAAGAAUAUGAGUAAUAGUAACUGAUUAUUCACUGACGGUAUCUAACCAGCAAGUCACGGCUAACUACGUGCCAGCAGCCGCGGUAAUACGUAGGUGGCAAGCGUUGUCCGGAUUUAUUGGGUGUAAAGGGAACGCAGGCGGUUUUUUAAGUCUGAUGUGAAAGCCUUCGGCUUAACCGGAGAUGUGCAUUGGAAACUGGAUGACUUGAGUGCAGAAGAGGAGAGUGGAACUCCAUGUGUAGCGGUGAAAUGCGUAGAUAUAUGGAAGAACACCAGUGGCGAAAGCGGCUCUCUGGUCUGUAACUGACGCUGAGGUUCGAAAGCAUGGGUAGCGAACAGGAUUAGAUACCCUGGUAGUCC
This 820-nucleotide ribosomal RNA is filed under the name uncultured bacterium. RNAcentral describes it as "bacterial SSU rRNA". It matches the Rfam family "Bacterial small subunit ribosomal RNA", at positions 8 to 796 of the family's 1533-position model. The record is from RNAcentral.